AUGAACGCUGGCGGCGUGCUUAACACAUGCAAGUCGAACGAUUAAAGCUCACUUCGGUGAGUGUAUAGAGUGGCGAACGGGUGAGUAACACGUGGGAAACCUGCCCCUUUCUUCGGGAUAACUUCGGGAAACCGUUGCUAAUACCGGAUACUCCGGGAUGGUCGCAUGGCCGACCCGGGAAAGCUUUAUGUGGAAAGGGAUGGUCCCGCGGCCCAUUAGCUUGUUGGUGGGGUAAUGGCCUACCAAGGCGAUGAUGGGUAGCCG
RNAcentral lists this ribosomal RNA (264 nucleotides) under uncultured bacterium. RNAcentral's name for it is "partial 16S ribosomal RNA". It matches the Rfam family "Bacterial small subunit ribosomal RNA", at positions 29 to 289 of the family's 1533-position model. The record is from RNAcentral.